RNAcentral lists this transfer RNA (68 nucleotides) under Hestiasula hoffmanni. Its description in RNAcentral is "tRNA-Val". Lineage: Eukaryota; Metazoa; Arthropoda; Insecta; Mantodea; Hymenopodidae. The record is from RNAcentral.
CAAAUUAAUUUAAAGUUAAGAUUUUCAUUUACACUGAAGUUUUUAUCGUGCAAUUCGAUAUAAUUUGA